This 1016-nucleotide long non-coding RNA is filed under the name Homo sapiens (human). RNAcentral's name for it is "non-protein coding TPT1-AS1:62". The record is from RNAcentral. Lineage: Eukaryota; Metazoa; Chordata; Mammalia; Primates; Hominidae.
AGGUUCCACCCUUUUCUGGGAACUUUACACCCCGCCACUCCUGAGCACCGCACACCGGCUUCCUCCCAGUCCCUCAUCUGAGAACUCAUGAAGCCACUUGGAAUCCCUCUCUGCUUUGCCUGGCUCAUUCCAUGUCAAUUUCAGAUCUUCACUUCAGGUCAGCUCCAAGGAGGCUAUCCUUGCCCAUCUUCCUAAAAUAGAGCUCUCAAAACCUGGCUGUUUUCCUUCAGAGCACUGGCCUCCAAUUGCUCCGGUAGAUUGCAAAUGACCUGCUUUCUUUCUGUUCCCGGGCUGCGUUCGGACCCCUGUCGGAGAGUAAAUCCGAAAAAAACAAACAAAGACAUGGAUUUACUGUGCAUAUUAGCAGAUCCAUACUGGAAAAUGCAUGGAGGUUUCAUAUACACCACUUACAGUUUUCAGCUCCUCAGUAGUGACAAAGCCAUACCCAUCAUUGUCGAUUCGAUCAACAAUCUUCCCUAGCCUCUCCUUGCUCUCGUCCGGGGUGAGCUCGUCGAAGUUCUUGGAGUCCUCCUUGCCCAGGAAGGCCUCGUGGUCGUACUGGAAGCUCUGGUUGUCCUCAGGGGGCCGCUCGCCCAGCUCCGAGUCGGGCCGCACCACGCGCUCUUUGCGCACCGUGGGCUUGGCCCGCAGAACCCGCGGCGCCAGCACCAGCGCCAGCAGCAGCCCCAGGGCUAACCCCAGGCGGCCACCGCGCGCCAUCGUCCCGAGGAGAGGGCGGCCGGGAGGGAGACGCUGAGCGAGCGACAACAGCGGCAGCUCGGGAAUGGGGGCUCGGAGCGCGGCGGCCAAGUUUUAUGUUAUGUAUAUUUUACAAGUAAAAAAAUUUUUUCACCUCAGCCUGAACUGAACACUAGCUGACAGACGUUUUGAUUUCUUUGACCAUCACGGAAUCGUGGCCAAGCGCGGUGGCUCACAUCUGUAAUCCCAACACUUUGGGAGGUCAAGAUGGGCGGAUUGCUUGAAUCCAGGUGUUUGAGAUCAGCCUGGGCAACAUG